AUAAUUUGAGUGUAGUGACUGAAUCUAGUAAACAGUUUCUUUUGCUUCCCUGUACCCCAAGCAUUAUGUGCAAUGCAGGACUCCUAACAAGACAAACACACAGAGCGCAGCCCUAUGUCUUCUCUUGCCAUUUCUGCAGUUUGGGAGCACAGUCCGGAAGUCUGACUCAUGUUGACCGGACCGGCAGGGCGAAAAUGGUCAACGUGGGUUCGAAGCUGGUGACAGAACGAACUGCUACAGCAUGAGCAAAGGUUUUUGUGGGACCCGAACUGAUGAAACUCGUACGAGAAAAUGGCCUGAAGAAAGGUGACGUACUUAGCAUUGCUCGCCUGGCGGGAAUUGUGGGGUCCAAGCAGACGUCCAGCCUUAUCCCUCUGUGUCAUAACAUAACUUUAUCCUCUGUGGCUGUGGACAUUGAACUGGACUCUGCUCUCAACUGUGUGAUUAUAACUGGCACGGCAAAGUGUAGAGGGCAGACGGGCGUGGAGAUGGAAGCUCUCACUGCUGUAUCGGUGUCUGCCUUAACAGUGUAUGAUAUGUGCAAAGCUGUGAGUCAUGACAUUGUGAUAUCUGAAAUAAUGCUUCUGGCCAAAAGUGGGGGAACUAGAGGAGACUUCCACCUGACAUGAGCAUCUGUGUGGGUUGUAAUAUUUGACAUUGCAGCUUUUGAAAAUGGAGCAGGAUGUUGUGCCCUCUUUCCUAUUGGAGUGUUUCUCUGUGAUCAGAAUUGGAGGCAGACAAUUCACUUGAACUUCCAUUGCUGUUGUUGAUGUCUUUGAAUCAUGUUGUUUCUUUGUGAUUAAUAAAAAAAUUAUACAAUCCAA
Long non-coding RNA from Schistocerca serialis cubense, 824 nucleotides. RefSeq lists it as uncharacterized. The record is from RefSeq and is a predicted model, not a curated record. The transcript is spliced from 2 exons. NCBI's taxonomy places the organism in Eukaryota, Metazoa, Arthropoda, Insecta, Orthoptera, Acrididae.